RNAcentral lists this ribosomal RNA (423 nucleotides) under uncultured bacterium. RNAcentral describes it as "bacterial SSU rRNA". It matches the Rfam family "Bacterial small subunit ribosomal RNA", at positions 111 to 518 of the family's 1533-position model. The record is from RNAcentral.
UAACACGUGGACAAUCUGACCCCCCGGCCCGGGAUAGCCCAGGGAAACCUGGAUUAAUACCGGAUGAGACGGGACCCGCGAUGGCGGGAUCCGGGAAAGGCGCUGCGGCGCCGCCGGGGGAUGAGUCUGCGUCCCAUUAGCUAGACGGCGGGGUAACGGCCCACCGUGGCGACGAUGGGUAGCCGGCCUGAGAGGGUGACGGCCACAUUGGAACUGAGACACGGUCCAGACUCCUACGGGAGGCAGCAGCUAAGAAUCUUCCGCAAUGGGCGAAAGCCUGACGGAGCGGAACCGCCGCGUGAACGAAGAAGGCCGUGAGGUUGUAAAGUUCUUUUCGGGAGGGGGAACAACCGUGGCAGGGAAUGGCCGCGGGAUGACGUGAAUCCCGGAAUAAGCCCCGGCUAACUACGUGCCAGCCGCCGC